This is a non-coding RNA of Penaeus vannamei (Pacific white shrimp), 2883 nucleotides long. NCBI's taxonomy places the organism in Eukaryota, Metazoa, Arthropoda, Malacostraca, Decapoda, Penaeidae. The record is from RefSeq and is a predicted model, not a curated record.
UUGUUCUGGGACACAGCACUACCUCCGCUGUGCCAGAUCCACCAGGCAACUGUGGUUGCUCCACUGGCACAGGCUCGGAACGAAAGACUGUCUAGUGUGCUUGAUGAGUCUCCGAUUACGUUGAUCUUUGCGUCCCAAGACGAUGUCAACGGCGCUCCAGCAGCCAGCAGUAACGGCAGUAGAGAAGUGCAGUUGGUGGUUAUAGCAUGAUGCAGCGGGUAACAGGAGUGGCCUCCCGGAGGCUCCAAAGGAGCACCGGAAGCCAGUAAUGAAGAGGCCUCCUUCACCGCUGUAAGACGGGCUGCCUGUUCCUCAUUAUCUCCUUCCUCCAGGUGGCCCUUCUCCCGGGCGAGGUCCGAGGGCGUCUUGCCGUCGUGGGUGCGGGCGGUGGGCAGGGCGCCGCGCUCCAGCAGGACCCCGAUUUUGGGUCGGUCGCCCUGCUCCGCCGCCACGUGGAGCAGCGUCCGGCCCCGCUCGUCCUGGUAGUGCAUGUCGCAGACGCCCAAGUCAACGGCAGUGGCCAAGGCUUCCGCGCUCGCGUUCUUCUCUCUGCAGAGCUCGACUACCGAAGUGUGUCCGCAAAGAGCGGCAUAAUGAAGAGGUGUGUUAUUUCGUUCGUCUGUUGCAUUAGGAUCGGCUCCAUGAAGGACCAACAGUUUGACCAAAACAGCGUCACCUGUGAGAGCAGCAUAAUGCAAAGCAAGAUGAAGUGGGGUGUCACCAGAAUCAUUUGUUUGGUUUGGGUCAGAUUUUCUAUCCAGCAAUAAUCUUGCAACAUCGGUGUGUCCUUCAAAGGCUGCAAAAUGGAGUGGAGUGUAAUUGCUGCUGGUAGAAGCAGAGGGGUCUCCGCCAUCUUCCAGCGAUCUGAGGACGUCGCCAGCGAGUCCUCUCCUUGCCGCUUCGUGAAUGUCUCCCAUGUUCCUCAAAUCCAAUCGAAGGACCUCAAGGACGCCGUCACAUUCCCUACAUCACAUCCCGUAAGGUUGUGGCUGUGCUGAUACUGGUUAAGGAUUUCGGUGAAACUGGCGCUGUAUUCCGUCCAAGGCGUCGAUAUGGUGAGGACAGACCCAGUGUAGCAGUCUCCGUCCUUAUUCGCCGGGCCUUGCCAGGAGACAUUCAGCAAACCGCCGUUCGAUUCAACGCUGACUGAAGCUGGCGUAUCGAAGGACCUCAAGGACGCCGUCACAUUCCCUACAUCACAUCCCGUAAGGUUGUGGCUGUGCUGAUACUGGUUGAGGAUUUCGGUGAAACUGGCGCUGUAUUCCGUCCAAGGCGUCGAUAUGGUGAGGACAGACCCAGUGUAGCAGUCUCCGUCCUUAUUCGCCGGGCCUUGCCAGGAGACAUUCAGCAAACCGCCGUUCGAUUCAACGCUGACAGAGGCAGGCGUAUAUGCUCUCCCUCCCCCUUCUGCAUCAUGGCACGGACUCUGCAGCAUAGGAGCGAUGGCUAAGGAGUCGGUAUCUAUGGAAGAAAUCCUAAUUUGAAAACGGUCGACAAUUCCUGGUCUAAGACAGCGGGCUAAAAAAAAAAAAUGGCUCUUAAUCUUCGCCAGUGGAAUUGGCCACCUAUCGAGGAGCGCAGAGUGAAGACGUAGCUCCUCAAACUCUUCAUCAGAAUAUCGGACGAUGGGAUGGCGGAUAUGCAUAAGGUGGUCCCCGGUGAGAAGCUUUUGUCAGACGGCGUGCGAUGGCGGUGUGACCAUAGUCCGGUUCCUUUCCACUAUCGGGAAGUACCUCUGAGCAUUUCUCUGUUGUACACUUGUAUCUCAUGACAUACAAUGCACUUUGUAUGGACGAAUAAAGUGCCAACACUUUCAAAGACAGGACUCCAUGAUAAGUAGACACACAGUCGAAACAUGCUCGGUCCCUUUGCCUCAUUUGGCAUGGCAUGUUCAGGUUGCAUGGUUGAGAACAGGCAAUAGAGUCAAUAUUCUACCAAGACACUCUCUAUCCAAGGGAAUCUUCAUCGAUACGAGUCUUCAUCCAAGGAAUUUCUGUUUCUAAGCAAGGGAUUUUUUAGACAAAAAGUCCUUUUUUGACAGCGUAACGUAUAGCCAUCUCAGAAUCUGCAAUAACUCGGGAUAUGGUCACACGUUGUGAAGACAUUAGUCUUGCAAGGCACUGAAGGAUUAUUAUUAGUGCUCCUGUCCUUUACCCGGCAGGACACUGGGGCCGGUUUAACCGCAUACAAGCGCGCAAAAUACCACUUAUUGGGUCACGAUCAUGAACCAGCUGCUGGAUUCCUUCGCGAUUCAAAUCUCACUGGUGAAUAAUAGGAGUCACUGUGUUUGCGAUCAGCUGCCGUAGACGAAGAAUUGCUGGUCAUUUUCGUUCAUAGUUACGGUAUACCGCUUCGGGAGAGGAUUAGGGGUUUCUUCCGAGGAAUGCAUCACAUGUGUCAUCUAAGAUAAUUAUUUUUUGGCUAAUUAUGAAAAUGAAGAUGAAAGCUUGUUAAGUUUCUUUGCAAAUACAGUGUCCUUAAUAAACAUUCGAAAAGCAUCACAAUUGUAUAUCAGUUGUAACUUUUAAUAACAUAUAAUCAAAACACACCUGGUACUCAGUCCCAAGUUACGUCAUCUUUUCCAAGGCAUAACCGGAUAUAUCGUUUAAUAGUAUGCAUAGGGCAACACACACACACACACACACACACACACACACACACACACACACACACACACACACGCAUAUGUAUGUGUGUGCACGCCCGCGUAUACAUUCACAUUAAGUUUCAGUGUUUUUCAUUAUGCCCACAUUUAUUCUGCAUCAUAUACAGUACAUAUACAUACAUAACUUACCGGUAUGUGAUAUUUCUCUACUAUAAUGAUUAUCUAUGUUGUCACAAUAAUGAGAUGGAUUUUGCACAAUUCCAGGAACUCACCUCAGG